CACGUAGGGCGCAAGCGUUGUCCGGAAUUAUUGGGCGUAAAGAGCUCGUAGGCGGACUGUCACGUCUGCUGUGAAAAGCUAGGGCUUAACCCUGGCCUUGCAGUGGAUACGGGCAGACUAGAGGUAGGUAGGGGAGAAUGGAAUUCCCGGUGUAGCGGUGAAAUGCGCAGAUAUCGGGAGGAACACCGGUGGCGAAGGCGGUUCUCUGGGAAUAUCCUGACGCUGAGGAGCGAAAGUGUGGGGAGCGAACAGG
This 253-nucleotide ribosomal RNA is filed under the name uncultured bacterium. RNAcentral's name for it is "partial 16S ribosomal RNA". It matches the Rfam family "Bacterial small subunit ribosomal RNA", at positions 524 to 776 of the family's 1533-position model. The record is from RNAcentral.